AAGAACGCUGGCGGCUGCUACACUGCAGUCGAACGAGAUCUUCGGAUCUAGCGGCGCACGGGUGAGUAACGCGUGGGAACUACCUUUUAGUACGGGACAACGUUUGGAAACGAACGCUAAUACCGUAUACGCCCUCCGGGGGAAAGGUCAGCCGCUAAAAGAGGGGCCCGCGUCUGAUUAGCUUGUUGGUAAGGUAUGGCUUACCAAGGCGACGAUCAGUAGCUGGUCUGAGGGGAUGAUCAGCCACACUGGGACUGAGACACGGCCCAGACUCCUACGGGAGGCAGCAGUGGGGAAUAUUGGACAAUGGAGGCAACUCUGAUCCAGCAAUGCCGCGUGUGUGAUGAAGGCCCUAGGGUUGUAAAGCACUUUCAACGGUGAAGAUGAUGACGGUAGCCGUAGAAGAAGCCCCGGCUAACUUCGUGCCAGCAGCCGCGGUAAUACGAAGGGGGCGAGCGUUGUUCGGAAUUACUGGGCGUAAAGGGCGCGUAGGCCGGUCUUUUAAGUUAGGCGUGAAAGCCCCGGGCUCAAACCCCGGGAACUGCCGCUUCAACGACUGGCAAGGCUAGCAAACGGAAGAGGGUCAGUGGAAUUCCCAGUGUAGACGGUGAGAUUCGUAGAUAUCGGGAAGAACACCAGGUGGCGAAAGCGGGCUACCUGGUUCCGAAUUUGAACGGCUGAGGCG
This 685-nucleotide ribosomal RNA is filed under the name uncultured Alphaproteobacteria bacterium. Its description in RNAcentral is "bacterial SSU rRNA". It matches the Rfam family "Bacterial small subunit ribosomal RNA", at positions 29 to 753 of the family's 1533-position model. Lineage: Bacteria; Pseudomonadati; Pseudomonadota; Alphaproteobacteria. The record is from RNAcentral.